RNAcentral lists this ribosomal RNA (550 nucleotides) under uncultured bacterium. Its description in RNAcentral is "bacterial SSU rRNA". It matches the Rfam family "Bacterial small subunit ribosomal RNA", at positions 355 to 896 of the family's 1533-position model. The record is from RNAcentral.
UGGGGAAUCUUCCGCAAUGGACGAAAGUCUGACGGAGCAACGCCGCGUGAGUGAUGACGGCCUUCGGGUUGUAAAGCUCUGUUAAUCGGGACGAAAGGUCCUCUUGCGAAUAGUUAGAGGAAUUGACGGUACCGGAAUAGAAAGCCACGGCUAACUACGUGCCAGCAGCCGCGGUAAUACGUAGGUGGCAAGCGUUGUCCGGAAUUAUUGGGCGUAAAGCGCGCGCAGGCGGAUCAGUCAGUCUGUCUUAAAAGUUCGGGGCUUAACCCCGUGAUGGGAUGGAAACUGCUGAUCUAGAGUAUCGGAGAGGAAAGUGGAAUUCCUAGUGUAGCGGUGAAAUGCGUAGAUAUUAGGAAGAACACCAGUGGCGAAGGCGACUUUCUGGACGAAAACUGACGCUGAGGCGCGAAAGCCAGGGGAGCGAACGGGAUUAGAUACCCCGGUAGUCCUGGCCGUAAACGAUGGGUACUAGGUGUAGGAGGUAUCGACCCCUUCUGUGCCGGAGUUAACGCAAUAAGUACCCCGCCUGGGGAGUACGACCGCAAGGUUG